Molecule: small nuclear RNA, 164 nt
Organism: Camelus dromedarius (Arabian camel)
Lineage: Eukaryota; Metazoa; Chordata; Mammalia; Artiodactyla; Camelidae
Gene: U1
Rfam family: U1 spliceosomal RNA
About the family: U1 is a small nuclear RNA (snRNA) component of the spliceosome (involved in pre-mRNA splicing). Its 5' end forms complementary base pairs with the 5' splice junction, thus defining the 5' donor site of an intron.
Source: Ensembl
AUACUUACCUGGCAGGGGAGAUACCAUGAUCACAAAGGUGGUUUUCCCAGGGCAAGGCUUAUCCAUUGCACUCCGCAUGUGCUGACUCCUGCAGUUUUCCCAAAUGUGGGAAAUUCGGCUGCACAAUUCGUGGUAGUGGGGGACUGCGUCCAUGCUUUCCCCUU